RNAcentral lists this ribosomal RNA (420 nucleotides) under bacterium. Its description in RNAcentral is "partial 16S ribosomal RNA". It matches the Rfam family "Bacterial small subunit ribosomal RNA", at positions 355 to 776 of the family's 1533-position model. The record is from RNAcentral.
UGGGGGAUAUUGCACAAUGGGCGAAAGCCUGAUGCAGCGACGCCGCGUGGGGGAUGAAGGCUUUCGGGUUGUAAACCUCUUUCGCUAUCGAACAAGGCCCGCUUAGGGUGGGUUGAGGGUAGGUGGAGAAGAAGCGCCGGCUAACUACGUGCCAGCAGCCGCGGUAAUACGUAGGGCGCGAGCGUUGUCCGGAAUUAUUGGGCGUAAAGGGCUUGUAGGCGGCUUGUUGCGCCUGCUGUGAAAACGCGGGGCUUAACUUCGCGCGUGCAGUGGGUACGGGCAGGCUUGAGAGUGGUAGGGGUGACUGGAAUUCCAGGUGUAGCGGUGGAAUGCGCAGAUAUCUGGAGGAACACCGAUGGCGAAGGCAGGUCACUGGGCCAUUACUGACGCUGAGGAGCGAAAGCAUGGGUAGCGAACAGG